GUGGUUUAAGAGGAGUUGCGAUGACAAACUGUUGCAGUAGUACAUUAAAGUAAAUAAGUUCAAAGGGGCGUAACUCCUAGAAAAAAAAUUGAAUCGCAAUUUCCCGUCGAUAUGCACAACUACAUAGUAUGUCCUUAUUAUCUGAAAAGGUUUCGUGAAAUUCUGUUGUGUGGUUUGAGAGGAGUUGCGAUGACAAACUGUUGCAGUAGUACAUUAAAGUAAAUAAAUUCAAAGGGGCGUAACUCCUAGAAAAAAAUUGAAUUGCAAUUUCCCAUCGAUAU
Molecule: long non-coding RNA, 281 nt
Filed under: Mytilus galloprovincialis (Mediterranean mussel)
Lineage: Eukaryota; Metazoa; Mollusca; Bivalvia; Mytilida; Mytilidae
Source: RNAcentral